This 541-nucleotide long non-coding RNA is filed under the name Salvia miltiorrhiza (redroot sage). RNAcentral's name for it is "long non-coding RNA (SMIL_LNC003744)". The record is from RNAcentral. Lineage: Eukaryota; Viridiplantae; Streptophyta; Magnoliopsida; Lamiales; Lamiaceae.
ACUCCCUCCGUCCCAAUAAAAGUGGCAACUUUUAUUUGGGCACGGAGAUUAAGAAACUUGGUGUUAUGAGUUAAUUGAGUGUGGUCCACCAAGUUUAAUGGAAUAAUUACUUUCACCAUCUGACUUCUUCUCCUUCUCACUGCACCUGGACGCCGGCGACGGCGGCGGCGGCGCCGGCGACGGCGGUCGCCCCUCACCUACGUCGAGCUCUCUCCCUCCUGUCGAACCAGCCCCCAAAUCGCGCCACCAUAUCUGGUUGCUCACCCCCAAAUCGCCCCAAAUCGGAGCCAAAAAACCAAAUUGCAGAGCCCCCAAAUCAAAAACCAAAAAAGGAAAGAGACAACCCAAUCGAUACUCCGUUGCUCACCCCAAAAUCGCCCCAAAUCGGAGCCCUAGGCCCCCAAAUCGAUUACCAGCUGCUCGCCCCAAAUCGGAGCCCUAGGCCCCCAAAUCGAUACUCCGCAGCUCGCCCAAAUCGGAGCCGUGUGAAGAGAGAGCAGAGAGAGGGAGAUGAGCAGAGAUGAGAGAGAGAGACGAGAUA